UCCAGACUCCUACGGGAGGCAGCAGUGGGGAAUAUUGCACAAUGGGGGAAACCCUGAUGCAGCGACGCCGCGUGGGUGAAGGAGCACCUCGGUGCGUAAAGCCCUAUCGGCAGGGAAGAAACAGACGGUACCUGACUAAGAAGCCCCGGCUAACUACGUGCCAGCAGCCGCGGUAAUACGUAGGGGGCAAGCGUUAUCCGGGUUUACUGGGUGUAAAGGGAGCGUAGACGGCAGUGCAAGUCCGGAGUGAAAGCCCGGGGCUCAACCCUGGGACUGCUCUGGAAACUGUAAAGCUGGAGUGCGGGAGGGGCAGGCGGAAUUCCUGGUGUAGCGGUGAAAUGCGUAGAUAUCAGGAGGAACACCGGCGGCGAAGGCGGCCUGCUGGACCGUAACUGACGUUGAGGCUCGAAAGCGUGGGGAGCAAACAGGAUUAGAUACCCUAGUAC
RNAcentral lists this ribosomal RNA (446 nucleotides) under uncultured bacterium. Its description in RNAcentral is "partial 16S ribosomal RNA". It matches the Rfam family "Bacterial small subunit ribosomal RNA", at positions 330 to 793 of the family's 1533-position model. The record is from RNAcentral.